GGCUCGGGAUCGAGGGCCGCGGGGCGGGAGGGGUGACCGGGUCUGGAGGGGACAGUGCUUUCACGUUUGGGAAAGGGGCGGGGAGCUGAAGCGAUGAGGUAAUUUUAGCGGUGACCGGUAGGUCCUCGCGCGCCUUCCCGGGUCCCUGCAUCUAGUUGGAGGGGACAGAGCGACAGCGGGGUGCAACUCAGGGACCCUGGAGGACUCUCCGAGGGCUGUCGAGCGGCAAGUCGGAGCCCAUGAAAUACCCCAAGUGGGAGAGGAGGUGGGCCAAUUCUGAUCCCGACGUUCCCUUCGUCCUGGGCGCGCCGACAAGCGUCUAAGAGGGUUGACUCCGAUCUUCACGCAUGUUAACCCUCAAACCGGUUUAGCCUCAGCGUUCCGGAAGCCAGCCCACCGAGCCGCGGGGAUUGCCUUGGCGUGCAACUCAGGAAAGUUUUAAGGGUCCCCCUGUCUGCACGUGCACCCUCACCUUUCCUGCCUACGAAAGCUGGUGACCUCCCUGCUCUCCUUUCUCUUUCUGCAGGUCCGGAAAUCUGCUUUGGGUAUGGAACUACCCAGCUUUACCCUGGGUAGACGAUCCGCGCACUCCUCUCGCCGCUAAUUCGGGAUCAUUAAUUUCAUCGGAAAUGAGGCAACCAGUGUAGGAGAUAGAAAAAGCAAACCGAGCAUCAGAUGGCAGUUCUCGUGAAUCCGCGCUGGAGAACUUCCUCUGGACUCAAAUUUAAGUGCGGUUCUCGACUCCUCGCCACCCCGUCCCUCCGUGGGUACCACCGCCAGGAGUUAGCUGGAAGGGAAGGACUCUUCUUUGGAGGGGUGGUACCUGGCCAACAGGUGUGGCACCUGGAGGAAGAGAAGGCACAACCAUGCUAAAGGGAGCUCAGUGCGGCGUUCUCCUGGCUGCAGAUAAUUCUGGAAGACCGGAUCCAGCUCAAGCACCAACACUUCUGCGAAGGCUUCCCUGAUUAUCACAAGAGUUUGCAGCUCUGCCCAAUGUAGGCCACUGUGACCAGAACUCAGGUGUAGGAUCUGAAAGUAACCUGGCCACACAAAAAAGUAUAAAACACUACCACCUCUUCACAGACUCACUCCACUUUAUAUUUGAGGGAAACGAUCCUGGAAGCGGAAAUACUUCGAGAGUUCAACAGUCUGGGAAAUUUAAAGGAGGGGGAAAAAAAGCCCUGCAUUUCCAAAGAUCUGAAGACAGAACUCUGCUCUCUGAGGACAGCAGGAAGUAAGAAGACCCGAUUCGUGGCUUCAGGAGAGGAAAAGAAAAGAGCCCCACAAGGAAACUACCAACAGAUGGGAAAUCCAGGUGAGAGAAGCCCUACCCUGGAGCAUCUCCGGAAAACUCAUACAAACCAACAAGAGAGGCAACUUGGUAUAUCUGUCAAGGCCAAAGAACUCUGAUACUAGCUCUUCACACCACUACCAGGCAAAGAACUCUGAUACUAGCUCUUCACACCACUACCAGGCAAGUAAGAACUUUCUUGCUCCCCUCUCCUUAUCUUCCUCCCAGUAUUCUAACUGCAGAGAAGUGUGCAGUCACCUUCUGAGAACUGCAAGGGGCAGGGAUCAGAAAAGAAAGGGCACAUGGGUUGCUCUCCUAACCCAGUUGUAGCUCUUUGUAGGAGGCUGAGAUGGGGAUGGGAGAAACCUGUUGACGUUUUUACUGUGAUAUGAAUCCAGACACGUUAAUUACUGACCAAAGGAUAUACUGCCUGGAAGUGACUAGAAGAAUGAAAAUUUGAUCUAAAUUUCACCCAAAAGCAGAGAAAGUGCUAACUCUGUGGAAUAAAUUUGAAGUGUUGCUUUAUGAUUGAUUACAUCCUAUGAGUCACACUUGUUCAAUGUAUCAGUUACAUAACCAUUUCUAAAUGCAAUUGAAUGGAGUUCUUAUAGAACCUUCUGUAGUGUUUUCCCCUACGAAGUCACUGUGUUUCUGUCUGAAAUUUGGAAAAUUAUAUGUCAAAUUGUCCUCACAGAGAAUUCUGUCCUUUUUACUCUAUUGUUUAUCAGCACUUAUGAAAUUUCUAAACUGAAAAGCAUUAUAUGCUUGGUACAGAUUAGGUGCUCAAUAAAUGUUGAAUUAAUAAAGAAAUGAAUGGGUAGUGAAGAGAAACCCUGAUUGCCUGGGUUCUUUAUAAACCCAGGCUAUCCUCAGAUUUCUUUAUGGUAGAGUAAGAAAUAUCCCAGGUUGGUGAUUUCUGAGACAUUCCAACCAGACACUUAUGGUCUCCUUACAUGGAAUUAUAAAACAUUAGCAUUAGAAGGAAACUUAGGAGGUGAUUUAGCCCAACCCUUUCAUUUUACAGAUGAAGGCCCAAAGAAGCGAAAUAAUUUGAUUAAGGUCACCUUUUUCUAUAGUAUCAGUGCUAGGCCUGGAGACUCUGACAGCUGACUCAUUGAUAGUGACAUUCCUUGGUUUCUGGGCUUCUUGCUAGCUUGGCUUUGGUGGAGUGAUAGCUUAUGUUCUCUUGUUAGUUUUUUCAUCAAUAAAAACAGAAGUUGCACCUAAGAAGCAAACAUGAAACAUCUACUUGUGCUCAGAAUUGCACCUGUACUUGGAAUAGAGUGAGGAGUUAGGACCAGCUACUGCCCUCAAGGAGCUUAUAGCCAAGUGGGGGAGACCGACAAGUAAAACACAACUAUAACGAAGUGGGCUAAGUGCUAUGAAAGAAAGAAUCACAGUGAGCUACUUAGAUAAAGCACCUCAUCCAGCCUAAGGGUCAUGGAGGGCUUAUUAGAGGAGGUGACAUCUGAGUUGAGUCCCGAGAAUGAGGAAAUGUUAAUAAUCAUGGUGUGUCUAGCAAACCCUAAGUAUUGUACUAUGGAGGUAUCACUGAGUACAAGGGGGUGGGAAGAGAGACGGGUCAGAUAGAUAAGCAGGAGCCCAAACAUGGAGGGAUUUCCAUGCUAUAGUAAGAUGUGUAGACUUUAUAGAAAGUCUAUCAAAAAUGACUGAAGUAUUUUUUGCAGGGGACUUAUGAGGCCUGAUUUCUGCCUCAGAUAUAACAGUCCAGCUACAGAAUGGGGAACAGCUUUGAGGGGGAUAAUGUAGGCAGAGAGUCCAGCUGGGAAACUAUUGAAAUAAUCUAGGUAAGAAAAAAUGGCAGUAGAGAUGGAAAAGGCAAAAGAAUUUAAGAGCAAUGUGCUAUGGACUGACUUGUGUACCCCUCUUCCCCUAAAGCCCAAUGUGAUGGUAUUUGGAGAUGGGGACUUUGGGAGAUAAUUAGGUUUAGAUGAGGUCAUGAGGGUGCCCCCCUCCAUGAUGGGAUUAGUGCCCUUAUAAGAAGAAACACCAGAAAGCUUGCAUUCUCUCUUCACCAUGUGAGGGCAAAUUAAGAAGGCAGUCCUCUACAAGCCUGGAAGAGAGUCCUCACCAGAAACUGAACAUGCUUUGAUUUUGGACUUCUAACCUUCAGAACUGUGGGAAAAUAAAUUUCUGUGUUUAAGCUAGCUGGUCUGUGGUAUUUUGUUAUGGCAGCCCAAGCUGAGUAAUACACAAAGGAAGUUGAAUGAAGGAUGCGGUGAUGUAUUAGAUGUAGGGAAUAAGGAUAGUGAGGUGCCAAGGGUCGGAUGAGUGUCCAGACUUACUGUGUAAAGAGAGAAGCCUAAGAAAGGGAACACUGGCAGAGAAAGGGGAAACUUGGUAGAGACCAAAGACAGUAGCCAGAGAGAUUAAGGGAAAACAGAAGAGGCCAAGAGAAGGGAAGUUUUUUUUUUUAAAAAAAGAUAAUGUUCAAUUGUGCAAAUAUUAUAAAGAUGUCAAGUAAGGUAAGGUUGAAAGGUAUCCGCUGGCUUCAGUGAUAAAUGCCUUUGGAGACAUUGGCAAGAAUUAUUUCAACAUUGUGAGGGCAGAUAUGAUACCACAGUUGAUUGAGGAGAGAAUGAGAUGUCAGGAAGUAUAGACAGCUAAUAUAGAAAGCACAUUUAAGAAUGCUUGCUUUGAAAUGGGGAAGAGAAGUGGAUAGGUAAUGAGAAGGGAAGGAAGCAAGGGGGAUUAUUUUAAUGAUAUAAGAUAAGCUUUUUAGGAGGGAUGACGUUGAGGACAUACUAGAAGAGAGGCAAUAAUUGAUGAGCAAGGUUACUGAGUGUGCAGGCCAUGAUGGGCUACAUAGCUCAGAUGCCGAGACUGGCUUUAGAAGGAGGGGCUUCAUCCUCCAUCAUGGGAGAGAAGUAAGAAUGAAUGCAGAUGUGUGCAAGAUUGUAGGUGCAGAGUCAGUCCUACCUGAUGGCUUCCAUUUUCUCCAUGAGGUAGCAGGUGAGAGUGAGGUAGGUGGUGAGAUGUUAGGAAAGGGGAUGGAGGAGGUGGCUUCAGUUACUUGUGUGAGGAAUGGGAGAGAGAAACAGAGGGCUGACGAUAAACACAGUAGGCAUGGCUGGCAGCAUGGAGGCAAUUGGAAAUUUUAUACCAUGGAAUUUUGGUGCACCAAUUCCCUCCACUGUGCAAUUUUUCUUCUUCAUACUUAGCUGCCUAAACAUAGAAGGAGGCCGAGAAUUAGGCUGUUACAAAGUUUGGGUUUUGCCAGUGAAUGAGAAUGAAGGACAAUGGGAAGGAAGUUGAGGAGGUCAAGGAAAUAAAAAGUUAGGAGCUCAGAGGAUUUCUACUUCUAGGGAUAUGGAGUAGACAUAUUUUCCCCAUUCUUCCUGCUACGUAUAAGUAAAAAAUCCUGGAUGUUAUAUACAAAACAAAUGUAGAAAGACUGAAAGGUGAAGCAAAGAAAGCAGACCAGCUAGGGAUCUUGAGAGUGGGGAGAUGACACAGUGGUGAGUUCCCUGGGUUUUCCUUUCGCCUCAUAUAUUGCAGACUCAGAGUGGAAGAAGGUGGCAAUCCACAAACACAGACAAAAAGGGCCCCAACAAAGGUCUGCUUUCUCUAAGGACAGGAAAAAGGCAGUCUAGAAAGAUAGAAAACUUUUAGACAAUAAGAGCUUUACCAGCAUCAAACAUUACAGAAAAAAAACCAACCCCACCUUCACCAGCAAAGGCUGAAUUGGGGGCCUAGACUUCCACAAUCACCAGGCUGUAACAAGACAUCCUAACCCCUUUGCUGGAAUUUCAUCCUUGCUGGGUGGUAGUUCCUCCUCCUGACCCCCCUACUCCCUAGCUCCGGUAUUAGUUGAGACCAGAUAGGGAGCACAGACUAAUACUCUCACCCUGAAGUAACAAGGCAUU
This is a long non-coding RNA of Balaenoptera acutorostrata (minke whale), 5178 nucleotides long. RefSeq lists it as uncharacterized. NCBI's taxonomy places the organism in Eukaryota, Metazoa, Chordata, Mammalia, Artiodactyla, Balaenopteridae. The record is from RefSeq and is a predicted model, not a curated record. The transcript has 4 exons.